RNAcentral lists this ribosomal RNA (458 nucleotides) under uncultured bacterium. RNAcentral describes it as "partial 16S ribosomal RNA". It matches the Rfam family "Bacterial small subunit ribosomal RNA", at positions 339 to 795 of the family's 1533-position model. The record is from RNAcentral.
CUACGGGGUGCAGCAGUGAGGAAUAUUGGUCAAUGGGCGCGAGCCUGAACCAGCCAUCCCGCGUGCAGGGUGACGGCCCUAUGGGUUGUAAACUGCUUUUCUAUGCCAAGAAACCUGAUUACGUGUAAUCAGUUGCCGGUAGCAUAGGAAUAAGCAUCGGCUAACUCCGUGCCAGCAGCCGCGGUAAUACGGAGGAUGCAAGCGUUAUCCGGAUUCAUUGGGUUUAAAGGGUGCGCAGGUGGGCUUGUAAGUCAGUGGUGAAAUGCUGCCGCUUAACGGUAGAACGGCCAUUGGUACUGGAGUCUUGAGUAUGGUUGAGGUAGGCGGAAUGUGUUGUGUAGCGGUGAAAUGCAUAGAUAUGACACAGAACGCCAAUUGCGAAGGCAGCUUACUAAGCCAUUACUGACGCUGAGGCACGAAAGCGUGGGGAGCGAACAGGAUUAGAUACCCUAGUAGUC